This 301-nucleotide ribosomal RNA is filed under the name uncultured bacterium. RNAcentral describes it as "partial 16S ribosomal RNA". It matches the Rfam family "Bacterial small subunit ribosomal RNA", at positions 509 to 807 of the family's 1533-position model. The record is from RNAcentral.
CAGUCGCCACGGGAAUACGUAGGUGGCAAGCGUUGUCCGGAAUUAUUGGGCGUAAAGGGCUCGCAGGCGGUUUCUUAAGUCUGAUGUGAAAGCCCCCGGCUCAACCGGGGAGGGUCAUUGGAAACUGGGAAACUUGAGUGCAGAAGAGGAGAGUGGAAUUCCACGUGUAGCGGUGAAAUGCGUAGAGAUGUGGAGGAACACCAGUGGCGAAGGCGACUCUCUGGUCUGUAACUGACGCUGAGGAGCGAAAGCGUGGGGAGUGAACAGGAUUAGAUACCCCUGUAGUCCCUGUCUCUUAUAC